UACAGAGGGGGCUAGCGUUGUUCGGAAUUACUGGGCGUAAAGGGCGCGUAGGUGGCCUGUUAAGUCGAACGUGAAAUCCCCGGGCUCAACCCGGGAACUGCGUCCGAGACUGGCAGGCUCGAAUCCGGGAGAGGGAUGUGGAAUUCCAGGUGUAGCGGUGAAAUGCGUAGAUAUCGUAAGGAAGACCAGUGGCGAAGGCGGGUCUCUGGACAGUUCCUGACGCUGAGGCACGAAGGCCAGGGGAGCAAACGGG
This 253-nucleotide ribosomal RNA is filed under the name uncultured bacterium. RNAcentral's name for it is "partial 16S ribosomal RNA". It matches the Rfam family "Bacterial small subunit ribosomal RNA", at positions 524 to 776 of the family's 1533-position model. The record is from RNAcentral.